This 76-nucleotide transfer RNA is filed under the name Klebsiella variicola. RNAcentral describes it as "tRNA-Ile". It matches the Rfam family "tRNA". From Rfam's summary of the family: Transfer RNA (tRNA) molecules are approximately 80 nucleotides in length. Their secondary structure includes four short double-helical elements and three loops (D, anti-codon, and T loops). The record is from RNAcentral. Lineage: Bacteria; Pseudomonadati; Pseudomonadota; Gammaproteobacteria; Enterobacterales; Enterobacteriaceae.
GCUGGGUUAGCUCAGCAGAUAGAGCGCCUACCUUAUAAGCAGGUUGUCGGCUGUUCGAUGCCGUCAACCUGCUCAA